GACGAACGCUGGCGGCGUGCUUAACACAUGCAAGUCGAACGGAAAGGCCCUGCUUUUGUGGGGUGCUCGAGUGGCGAACGGGUGAGUAACACGUGAGUAACCUGCCCUUGACUUUGGGAUAACUUCAGGAGACUGGGGCUAAUACCGGAUAGGAGCUCCUGCUGCAUGGUGGGGGUUGGAAAGUUUCGGCGGUUGGGGAUGGACUCGCGGCUUAUCAGCUUGUUGGUGGGGUAGUGGCUUACCAAGGCUUUGACGGGUAGCCGGCCUGAGAGGGUGACCGGCCACAUUGGGACUGAGAUACGGCCCAGACUCCUACGGGAGGCAGCAGUGGGGAAUAUUGCACAAUGGGCGGAAGCCUGAUGCAGCAACGCCGCGUGCGGGAUGACGGCCUUCAGGUUGUAAACCGCUUUCGCCUGUGACGAAGCGUGAGUGACGGUAAUGGGUAAAGAAGCACCGGCUAACUACGUG
This 468-nucleotide ribosomal RNA is filed under the name uncultured bacterium. Its description in RNAcentral is "partial 16S ribosomal RNA". It matches the Rfam family "Bacterial small subunit ribosomal RNA", at positions 28 to 507 of the family's 1533-position model. The record is from RNAcentral.